CGGGGUAUAGCACAGUGGUGGAGUGCACUCUUGGCUUGCAUGAAGUCCUGGGUUCAAGCCCCAGUGUCUCCG
This is a transfer RNA of Camelus ferus (Wild Bactrian camel), 72 nucleotides long. It matches the Rfam family "tRNA". From Rfam's summary of the family: Transfer RNA (tRNA) molecules are approximately 80 nucleotides in length. Their secondary structure includes four short double-helical elements and three loops (D, anti-codon, and T loops). The record is from Rfam. Lineage: Eukaryota; Metazoa; Chordata; Mammalia; Artiodactyla; Camelidae.